Unclassified non-coding RNA from Theropithecus gelada (gelada), 282 nucleotides. It matches the Rfam family "Metazoan signal recognition particle RNA". From Rfam's summary of the family: The signal recognition particle (SRP) is a universally conserved ribonucleoprotein. It is involved in the co-translational targeting of proteins to membranes. The record is from Ensembl. Lineage: Eukaryota; Metazoa; Chordata; Mammalia; Primates; Cercopithecidae.
GCUGGGCAUGGUGGCUCAUGCCUGAAAUCCUAGCACUUUGGGAGGCCGAGGCGGGCGGAUUGCCUGAGCUCAGGAGUUCAAGAUCAGCCUGGGCAACACAGUGAAAACCCACCUCUACUAAAAUACAAAAAAUUAGCUGGGUGUGGUGGUGCACACCUGUAGUCCCAGCUACUUGGGAGGCUGAGGCAGAAGAAUUGCUUGAACCCAGGAGGUGGAGGUUGCAGUGAGCUGAGAUUGUGCCACUGCACUCCAGCCUGGGCAACAAGGCAAGACUCUGUCUCC